Molecule: non-coding RNA, 26 nt
Filed under: Mus musculus (house mouse)
Lineage: Eukaryota; Metazoa; Chordata; Mammalia; Rodentia; Muridae
Source: RNAcentral
UUCUGGGAGGGAGGAUCAGCAACAGU